Long non-coding RNA from Anolis carolinensis (green anole), 782 nucleotides. RefSeq lists it as uncharacterized. The record is from RefSeq and is a predicted model, not a curated record. The transcript has 3 exons. Lineage: Eukaryota; Metazoa; Chordata; Lepidosauria; Squamata; Anolidae.
ACUGAGCCCUCUCCUUAUUGCACCCACCUUCCUUUCCUAGCACUGAAAAAUCAACCUGCUAAUAAGGUCUCUGUUUCAUCUAAAAUCCUAUGAGACUCUUCCUAAAGCAGUGGUUCUCAACCUGUGGGUCCUCAGGUGUUUUGGCCUACAACUCCCAGAAAUCCCAGCCAGUUUACCAGCUGUUAGGAUUUCUGGGAGUUGAAGGCCAAAAUAUCUGGGGACCCAUAGGUUGAGAACCACUGUGGAACUAAAGACUUCUCUAGAACUAGAGUACGCUUGUUCACCCUCCAACAUCAUAGAGCUAUUGCAGUUGCUACAAAAUUUAGGUAGCAGUGAAAUGGAGUGUGACCUCAGAAGGACUGUGGGAGUCCAAUGCAACCUCCCCAAACUGAAGAAACGACCGUCUCUAAUUUGAAAGCACUUUGUCAUUAAUGGUAGAAAGGUGCUCAUUGGUUGCUUCUUCACCGCAAAGCACUGCUGAAGAGGUGUAACUUCAGAGAUGUUGUCUUCUUUGAGUGUCUUACUUUAGAGAAUUCAAUUUACAACAUAGUGAUCUAUGAGAAGUAAUAGUAAGUAAAUUCUGCAAGCACUCAGGCAUCCCAAUUGCAGCCUACAGAUACUUCGGUUGCGCUGCUGUAACCUCCAAUCCAAGUCAUGCAUGAAAUUAGCUGCUGUCAUUCUAAAACCAGAACCUGAGAGAGCUCUACUUGAGACUUUAACAAUAUAGAUGGACUGACAAAGCUCUGUGAAAUACUGAUACAUCUUGACUGCAAACUGCAGGU